This 454-nucleotide unclassified non-coding RNA is filed under the name uncultured Bacillus sp. RNAcentral's name for it is "partial 16S-23S ribosomal RNA intergenic spacer". The stretch from base 323 to 454 matches the Rfam family "Bacterial large subunit ribosomal RNA", at positions 1 to 132 of the family's 2925-position model. The record is from RNAcentral. Lineage: Bacteria; Bacillati; Bacillota; Bacilli; Caryophanales; Bacillaceae.
UUGCGGCUGGAUCACCUCCUUUCUAAGGAAUAUGCAGUCCUUGUGGACUGAUAAAACGUUGACUGUUACUUGUUUGUUUAGUUUUGAGAGUACAAUCUCUCAAAACAUUGCUCCUGCGCCAUAGCGUAUUCGAAGGUGUUAUCCUUCAGCUCGUCGCAAGGCAGCAUGAUGUAAAGCUCUGAAGUUUAAUCACGAAGUGAUUGAAAUCAGUAGCCUCGUUCCUUGAAAACUAGAUAAUCGUAAGAAGAAGUAACCAAGUAAAAACCGAGUUAAUCGCCAUUUUAGUUUUUCUCUCUUAUUAAAUAAGAGUAAAACCUUUUUAGGUUAAGUUAGAAAGGGCGCACGGUGGAUGCCUUGGCACUAGGAGCCGAUGAAGGACGGGACUAACACCGAUAUGCUUCGGGGAGCUGUAAGUAAGCUUUGAUCCGGAGAUUUCCGAAUGGGGAAACCCGGA